RNAcentral lists this transfer RNA (67 nucleotides) under Marmota monax (woodchuck). Its description in RNAcentral is "tRNA.Val". The record is from RNAcentral. Lineage: Eukaryota; Metazoa; Chordata; Mammalia; Rodentia; Sciuridae.
UGGUGAUAGAGUUGGUAGAGUGCUUGCCUCACAUGCACAAGGCCCUGGGUUCAAUCCCCAGCACCAA